UGCAACACGUUGAUCCCUAAAUUCUCAGCAAAUGUAAAGCAACAAUUUAAUUUUUGGUUCAAAAUAACAAACAUCCACACUGCAAAAAUAUAAAACAUACAAGGUAGAGCUCUACCACACUCUUUUAAUCGUAUAUUUCUUAUUUCAGAUUUAAUUUUUAUUUCAACUUGCACCUGGUUUAUUUCCAUGCUGAUGGGGUAGACUGCUUGCUACCUACCUUUAUGAUAUGCUCCCUCUACCUGAAGACAUCAUGCAGAAAGGGCUCCUCUCACUGAACUGCAACACGAAAAUCAGAUGGCAAAGUUCUAAAAUGCACUUACUUUGGGGGAAACAUAUCCAUGACCUAAAUGAAUGCUUUAACUUGCUUUAAAGCAGGACUGCAACCUCAUUGGAUCUGCAGAGCUUUUAUCAUUAUUUAUUUUUUCAAAGAAACAGAUUAAAUACUGAGAGGGAAGAAACCAUGAGUUUACUUUGCAAGAUAAAUAAAAGUCUAUUUUUGUCUGAUAAAAAACAUGUUAAAUAUAGCUUGCUAACAAAAUGCUGAAGCUCUCUUGGAAUUUUUUUUUUUUCAAAACAUAGUAAGCUUCAAAGAGCAAUUAAUGUAAUUUCUGCAUACAGUCCUGACUACACCUUAUCUUCCUUCCAGUGAAAGCACUGCUAUCACUCUCUUCCCCUUCAUGGUCAACAAAAUGGUUAGCUAGCUCUUAAUCCAAAAUGAUAUAGCAGAAAUCAUUAAAUAGUCAUGAUAAAAUAAAUAGAAAGAUAGAUGGAUAGGUAGGUGGGUAAAUAUAUAGACAGACAGACAGAUACAAAGCACAGCCUUCAUAUUCUUUUAAUUCAUCACUCUUCUCUUCAGCCUUAUUAAGCUUUCAAGACAGAGUAAAUUAAGUCUGAUUGUCGUGGACCCUUGCAUCCUCUGCAACCCUUGCAUAGCUCAACAGUCAAUAAUCGUUUACCUCUAUCCAGUUCCUUAUUUCCCUAGUAAUUAAUCAUUCCAUAUUCAAUGCAAGACAAUAGCCAUUUUAGGGGGAAAAAAAUCAGGGCUCUUUUUUUUUAGUAGGUGGGAAAAAUCUUAGCAAAAUAGCCACCAGAAUCAAAUGGAAUUCUUCAAGCAGGCGGAAUUUGUAAAAUGAAAACCAUUUAAGAAAACACAUCUUGCUCCUUGAUGAAGUGAGUGGGUCUUCCCCCACCUUCUCACUCAGAGGCCCCAAAGAUGGAGCUAGCUCUCCCUUCCUUCCUCCUUUCACACCAGCCUAAGCAGCCAAUUAAGCAAGUUUAGAAAACCCAUAGAGCUAAAUCCAAACGACACAGGAUUUGAAAGAGGAACCUAAAAGCGAUCGCCCUUAUUCUGGUUUUGUUUUCUUAUCUGAAAUGAAUUAAACAUCUAGAUACAUUUCCACCCGCUUUUCCCGACUUGCUGCAGGAGUAGCUUUGAGAAAGAGAAAACAUGUAAGUGUGUGUGUGUGUGUGCGCGCGCGCGUGUGUGUGUGUGUGUGUGUGUGUGUGUGUGAGUGUGUGUUUAGGGGGGCGUGGGUGGGAGGUAUACUUGCAGAAUCCCCUCCUGGUUGCUCCCCGUUUCCCCAUUUCCCUUAGCAAAUCUUCACAGAGAUGCUGGAUUGUGGGUGUUCAAUUGCUCAUAUUUGGAGAUACUCAAAGCUAUGCCUUUAACCAGAUCUGAUCAGAAUCUCCACCUACUCUGCUAGCUCCUCCAUGAUCUGGAUGCCAGCACUGUCUUUACCACAUCUGUCAUUUUUUAAAAAGCUUCUUCCACUACACCUCCUACUGAUAUCCUUUUUUCUCUUUUUAGUCUUUACACCUCCAGCAGGACAAAGUUUGUAUUGUUAUAGUCACAACCACUAGUGGCUGACUAGCAGGAGAGAUACAGAGCGCCAGCAAGGGAGCCAGGCUAAGGGGGGGUUAAACAGAUACCCAGUGCAAAGCAUGACUUUAUUUCCAAUGACUGCGGACACCAUGCACUAUUGCUCUCUUCCAAAAAAAAAAAAAAAAAAA
This 2010-nucleotide long non-coding RNA is filed under the name Canis lupus familiaris (dog). RNAcentral describes it as "lncRNA (ENSCAFG00845025340.1)". The record is from RNAcentral. Lineage: Eukaryota; Metazoa; Chordata; Mammalia; Carnivora; Canidae.